This 1356-nucleotide ribosomal RNA is filed under the name Lymantria dispar japonica. Its description in RNAcentral is "large subunit ribosomal RNA". The stretch from base 1069 to 1228 matches the Rfam family "Eukaryotic large subunit ribosomal RNA", at positions 2825 to 2984 of the family's 3401-position model. The record is from RNAcentral. Lineage: Eukaryota; Metazoa; Arthropoda; Insecta; Lepidoptera; Erebidae.
AAUAAGUAUUAAUAAAAAAAUUUUUAAAUUUAUUAAGUAUUUUAAUGGGGGUUAAAGUAUUUUAAUAGAAAAAAUUUAAAUUUUUAUAGUUAAUUAGUAUUGUGAGAGAAAUUUGAAAUAAUUAUAAAAUAUAAAUUUAUUAAAAAGUAAUUUUUAUUUAGUGUAUCUUGUGUAUCAGAGUUUAUUAAAAAUUUAUUUUGGUUAAAAUUUUCUCGAAUUUAAAAGAGCGAAUUAAAUAUAAAAGUUAUUGUAGUAAAAAUAUUUUUAAUAUUUAAUUUGAAAUGAAAUGUUAUUCGUUUUUAAAUAUAUCUAGUUUUUUUAGAAAAAAAUUUAAUUUUAAAUUGAUUUUUAAACAUUUAUAUUUUAUUAAUAAAUUUUUAAGAUUAAUUUUAUAUUUUAAGGGAUAAGCUUUAAAUUAAAUUAAUAUAAUAUUUAAUUUAAUAUUGAAAAUUGUAUAAUUUAUAUUGUUAAAAAAUUUUAUUUUAUUAUAAAUAAUUUCAAUUAAUAUAAAAUUUAAUUAAAAUUUAUUAUUUUAUAAGAAAAAUAUAUUUAAUAAUAUAAUUUAAGUUAUAAUGAUAAAAUUAGUAUAAAUUUUUAUUAAUAUUAUUAAAUUUAAUUUAAGGUAUUUUAAAGGAAUUCGGCAAAAUUUUAUAUUCACUUGUUUAUCAAAAACAUGUCUUUUUGAAAAUAAUUUAAAGUCUAAUCUGCCCACUGAUUAAUAAUUAAAGGGCUGCAGUAUUUUGACUGUACAAAGGUAGCAUAAUCAUUAGUCAUUUAAUUGAUGACUUGUAUGAAAGAUUGGAUGAAAUAUGAACUGUCUUUAAAUUAAAUAUAGAAUUUAAUUUUUAAGUUAAAAAGCUUAAAUAAUUUAAAAAGACGAGAAGACCCUAUAGAGUUUUAUUAUUUAUUUAAAUUAAUAUUUUUAUAAUUAGUUGUAUUUAUGUUAAUUUUUAAUAAAUAAUUUUAUUGGGGUGAUAAAAAAAUUUAAUUAACUUUUUUUAAUUUAAAAACAUAAAUAAGUGAAUAUUUGAUCCAUAUUUUAUGAUUAUAAGAAAAAAUUACCUUAGGGAUAACAGCGUAAUUUUAUUUUUUAGUUCAAAUAAGAAAUAGAGUUUGCGACCUCGAUGUUGGAUUAAGAUAAAAUUUAAAUGCAGAAGUUUAAAAGUUUUGAUCUGUUCGAUCAUUAAAAUCUUACAUGAUCUGAGUUCAAACCGGUGUAAGCCAGGUUGGUUUCUAUCUUUUAAAAAUAAAAAUAUUUUAGUACGAAAGGAUUAAAUAUUUGAAUUAUAUUUUUUAAUUUGAAUUUUAUUAAAUAUAUAUAUAUAUAUAUAUAUAUAUAAAAAUUAUUAUGGAUUU